This 326-nucleotide long non-coding RNA is filed under the name Helianthus annuus (common sunflower). RNAcentral describes it as "sRNA HanXRQr2_Chr01g0002911". Lineage: Eukaryota; Viridiplantae; Streptophyta; Magnoliopsida; Asterales; Asteraceae. The record is from RNAcentral.
UUGAAACGAAUAUUCCUACCACAUCUUCAUCCUAUUCACCAUUUGGGUCCAAUCUAGGUUAAUAGUUUUUUAAAGCAACACCAAACUACGACCCAAUUUAGGAAAGCUUUUAGAGCAUUGCGAAGAUGAGUGCACCUCUUAAUUCAUUAGAUAAUCGGGUUCCACCAUAGAGGUAUGGUACUAAGCGAAAUGGGCUGGGAUUUCUCCUAAGCAUCACUAGAAGUCUCGCAAACUUAAGAUGCCUGCAGUCUGUUGAACCAUAAAUAAUAUUUUGUUUCGAUCCUACUGUGGAUAAACAUCCGGAUAUUGUGACUUUAAUUACAAUG